CCCUUUCUGGGUUAAGUUUUUGUAUUUGUAUUUCAGUUUUUAUUAUGUCAUUUCCAUUUGUAUUUUCGAAUUUUGUAUUUUGACCAUGGGUUGUACUAUUGGGGUGUUUUGUCCCCCACGAACAAAAUUUUAUUUUUCAGUUAAUGUUAUUUAUGUUUGUUGUUAAUUUUGUGUGUUUAAUAAAUUUUUGGUUGAUUGAGUGGCAAACCCUUCUAGAUUGGUUGCUCCUCAAGAAGUACCCAAUGAAGGUGCAUCCGAG
This 259-nucleotide long non-coding RNA is filed under the name Lathyrus oleraceus (garden pea). RNAcentral describes it as "Pisum sativum (pea) long non-coding RNA (PSAT_LNC023324)". The record is from RNAcentral. Lineage: Eukaryota; Viridiplantae; Streptophyta; Magnoliopsida; Fabales; Fabaceae.